This is a non-coding RNA of Lolium perenne, 1143 nucleotides long. Lineage: Eukaryota; Viridiplantae; Streptophyta; Magnoliopsida; Poales; Poaceae. The record is from RefSeq and is a predicted model, not a curated record.
AGGGGGACGUUGAUGAUUCUAAUCCGUUCGUUCGCAUCGUACAGCAACACGGCAGCUCCUAGCUAGAAACACAGCGAGCAUAUCCAGCCCAAAGCCCAGUUCAACAAAUAGAAGAGGAAAAGCACUGCUCCGCUUGAGAGAAAAAAAAAGCUCCCGUCCAUAAUUCCUCUUCCUUGCCAUUGCCGUUCGCUCACUCACACAGUGUAGCUCCACACUAGCCAUCAGCUGCACCAGGUCGGAGAGGCCGCUCUCAACCAGCGCCCGUGCCGGCCAGGUGGACGCGCUCGACCUCUCGUUGGUGCUAUCUUCCUUGGCGAACUCCGGGGAUCCAACUCCGGUAGAGGCCUCCAAGCGGAGGAGCAAGAGGGCUUGCCGGCCUGGUCGCCGCGCUCGAUCUCUGCGUUGCGGCUUCCCUGGCGCACACCGUCCGCGUCCUCCAAGCGGAGGAGCAGGAGCGCCUGCCGGGAUGCUCGACGCGCUCCGCUUCCUUGGCGAACGCCGGCCGCGUCCUCGAAGCGGAUGAGCAGGAGCGCUUGCCGGCUUGGUCGCUGCGCUCGAUCUCUGUGUUGUGGCUUCCCUUGUGCACGUCGGCCGCGUCCUCUAAGCGGAGGAGCAGGAGCUCAACAUCUGGCGUGCAUUACUCAACAAGUCAUUUGGUGGGCUAGCAUCUGUGGGAGUGGUACAUGGAUAUCGUGUUUCUUCCAUUGGCAAUGGGAUGCUUGAUGAACUUCAGCAAACUACUUCCAUGAGAAACAUGAAGAUUUGAUCAAGUUCCAAAGAAACCUCAAGGUGAGAGUUUGAUCUACUCAAGUGAUUACCUUCGUGUGGAAAACUGUACGACAAGCUGAUAAAUCCAAGCCAAUGAGAAUUUACCUGAGAAUGAUGAGCAGAGCUGCGUGCCCAGGCGAUCCCUUUUUCUCGCGUUGUUUCUUUCUAUCGAUGAUCUCGCGCUCUUUUUCUCUGUUCUGGCGCCUUUUCUAUUUUGGAGCGAGCCAUUACCUCUUUACUGAUCUGGGCUUUUGGGCCAGAUGUGCGCUGUGUUUGCAGUACUUGGCCGUGCUGCCGUGUUGCCGUACGAUGCGAACGAACGGAUUAGAAUCAUCAACGUCCCCCUGCAGUACUUGGCUCAACGUAAGAGGAUCU